Molecule: ribosomal RNA, 470 nt
Filed under: uncultured bacterium
Lineage: Bacteria
Description: partial 16S ribosomal RNA
Rfam family: Bacterial small subunit ribosomal RNA
Source: RNAcentral
GACGAACGCUGGCGGCGUGCUUAACACAUGCAAGUCGAACGGACAGGCCCUGCUUGCAGGGUGCUCGCGUGGCGAACGGGUGAGUAACACGUGGGUGAUCUGCCCCUUACUUUGGGAUAAGCCUGGGAAACUGGGUCUAAUACUGGAUAGGACCAUGCUGUAGGCGGUGUGGUGGAAAGAUUUUUUCGGUAGGGGAUGAGCUCGCGGCCUAUCGACUUGUUGGUGGGGUAAUGGCCUACCAAGGCGUCGACGGGUAGCCGGCCUGAGAGGGUGAACGGCCAAGUGGGAACGCGAUUACGGCCAGAAGCCUACGGGAAGCAUCCGGUGGGGACAAUGGCCUAAGGGAGCAACGCCGAGUGAGGGACGCCGGUGUGGGGAUGACGGCCUUCGGGUUGUAAACGCCUUUCAGCGAUGACGAAGCCUCGUUUGGGGUGACGGUAGUGGUAGAAGAAGCACCGGCUAACUACGUG